RNAcentral lists this ribosomal RNA (450 nucleotides) under uncultured Glomus. Its description in RNAcentral is "SSU rRNA". It matches the Rfam family "Eukaryotic small subunit ribosomal RNA", at positions 569 to 1025 of the family's 1831-position model. The record is from RNAcentral. Lineage: Eukaryota; Fungi; Glomeromycota; Glomeromycetes; Glomerales; Glomeraceae.
AGCAGCCGCGGUAAUUCCAGCUCCAAUAGCGUAUAUUAAAGUUGUUGCAGUUAAAAAGCUCGUAGUUGAAUUUCGAGAUCAAAUUGUUGGUCGUGCCUCGGUACGUACUGGCAUUAUUGAUUUCUCCCUUCUGAAGAACCUUGAUGUCAUUAAUUUGGUGUCUUGGGGAAUCAGGACCGUUACUUUGAAAAAUUAGAGUGUUUAAAGCAGGCUCACGCUUGAAUACAUUAGCAUGGAAUAAUGAAAUAGGACGUUUGAUUCUAUUUUGUUGGUUUCUAGGAUCGACGUAAUGAUUAAUAGGGAUAGUUGGGGGCAUUAGUAUUCAAUUGUCAGAGGUGAAAUUCUUGGAUUUAUUGAAGACUAACUACUGCGAAAGCAUUUGCCAAGGAUGUUUUCAUUAAUCAAGAACGAAAGUUAGGGGAUCGAAGACGAUCAGAUACCGUCGUAGUC